UGCAAAGAGCGCGUGCUGCGUUUGAGUCACCUCCCACUGUACCACCUGCAGGGCGGCUUCAUAAAGAUCUUUCAGCUGGACAAGCACUUUCGAGAAGCGAAUCUAACAAAAGGAGUAAAGCUCGUUCGUCAAGUUUAUGUUUUGGAGCAGAUGACAGAAGACUAAGCCGCCCGCGUCACUGUUAAAUAUAUUUCUCGGGUCCUCCGUCAUAAUACCAUGUACGUCGUAUGCCUCUAGGCAGUCAAAUAACACUCUCCAGGAGCAAGAACGUGAGGAUGCUGUUUUUGUAACGGUAUUUUGGUCUCAUGCACAGGCGCUACAUCUGCUGUUGGCUAUGACGAAUGGAUGGAAAUUGCAAGAUGUUAAGGCGCUCCGCCCCUCAAAGGAUAUCUCACGCAAAGUACACAAAAUAGUCCAGUACGAAGCCAGUCAACAGCAAACGGGCUACACGUAGAUCAAGAUGGUCCAACUUUGUGACAAUAAUAAUAAUGAUGACCCUUG
Rhipicephalus microplus (southern cattle tick) is the source of this 501-nucleotide RNA transcript. RefSeq lists it as uncharacterized. NCBI's taxonomy places the organism in Eukaryota, Metazoa, Arthropoda, Arachnida, Ixodida, Ixodidae. The record is from RefSeq and is a predicted model, not a curated record.